RNAcentral lists this long non-coding RNA (1212 nucleotides) under Anas platyrhynchos platyrhynchos (common mallard). Its description in RNAcentral is "lncRNA (ENSAPLG00000019471.1)". The record is from RNAcentral. Lineage: Eukaryota; Metazoa; Chordata; Aves; Anseriformes; Anatidae.
AUGCUUGUGCUUUUUGAGCUGUGCUGCUGCUGCACAACAGGGCCGCGCCGCGUCCUGCGCCCGGCCUCCACCCGCAGGCGGCGGAGCUGGGCGCACGUGCCGGGAGCAGCCAGCAGCCGGGGAUUUCGGUGGCAGCUUCGGGGCUGGAAAAGCGAUAUUUGCAAUUUGGAAGUUGCUGCGGUCACGGAAACAUUCAAGAAAAGCAAGGGCCGUGCCUAUAGCACGGCAGACACGGAUGAGGUUGGUAGGGGCUGGGGGGAGCGGUGCAGCACCCAGCUGCCCACCGGUGCCAUGGGGAGGAGAGGCAGCCCCGGGCAGUGGGAGCACCGCAGGGCUCGGUGCAUGGAAGCCCCCAAGGGGCACAGGGGGCCGCAGCACCCCAGGGAUGAACGCAGAACUCACACCCAGCUGGCUGUGGCAGAGGGGCACAGCGAGAGCCUCUUCGUGCUGAAAGAAGAACGGGAAUUACUCCACUUCUUUCUCUUGAAGCUAUUCAAAUAUUUUCUCCUGCUGAUUAAUUCGCCGCUCCCCAGGGCUCAGCACGGCUGCUCCCGAGCCAGCGCGGAUGCCUGCCCCGAGGAGCCCCUCGGCACCCCGGGCAGCGCGCUGAGCGGCGCCCACCCUCCCUGGGAGAGGAGCCCCCACGCUGCCAACCCUCCCGGGAAGAGCCCAUUUCCCCUGGGUGCCCCAGCACAGCAAAGCCGAUCGAAGCGGAGCCCAGGCAAGCAACAGCUCCAGUUCUCCGUGGCUUGUGCAUGCACGGAGCAAUCCGGCUCCUUUCCUCCUUUCCCCAAAACCCAGGCGCAGUCCGAUGGCAGCAGGAACGAGCUGCGCAACCUCGCUUUGCUACAGGGAAGCAGCAGAACAGCAGAGCCCCAGGGCACGGGGCAGGGUCGAGGAGGGCACAGCUCCCUUCAUGCGCACAGGAGGUGCAGAUGGGGGCAGGAGCGUGGCACGAGGCCGGGCACCGGUGGGCUGGCGGGCUGCGAGGGGGCGAGUGCCUGCCCGAGGGGCUCUCCGGGAGCCCCCAGGGGCUGCAGGCAGCGUGGCACAGCGCGGCUGUCACGGCACAGCACGGCGGUCACGGGGAUCAAGCGGCGCCGUCCCUGUCGGCUGACACUUCAAAGCCCAGCUCUUCCAGCCGGCUGCCUCGUGCGCGCAGCCCGUAUUCCCUUCCAACCAAUUUCACCGAGCCCAGAGGGAAAUUCUUAA